UCAUUGCACACACAUUUUGCGAAUGCCAACCCCUUUGCGAACUUUACCACUGUCCCACCCCCCCCAACUGGCUCCGGCCGGCACCAAAAGUCUCUGGCCAAACACGGCGAAUGCCUCUCGUCGUGUUUGGUUGGCUGAUCGAAACCCGGCGAGGGGCAUCUCGUCGUGUUUUGGUUGGCUUAGGGGACUUGGUGUUUUGGGUUCCAAACAAUCAUUGGAUGGCGCAAUGCAUCACUUUCAAAUAUUUGGCUGAGUGUACCACAAGGAGAAUCUCGCGGCGGGGGCACCACCACCACCACCACCACCACCACCACCCCGACCCCGACCCCGGAGUUGGAGUUUGGAGUUGGAGUGAGUGCGGGGUGGUGCCAACCCCCCCCGGGGUUCGAGUUGUUAAGUGAUAAAAAACCAAAAACAACUCUCAGCAACGGAUAUCUUGGCUCCUGCAACGAUGAAGAACGCAGCGAAAUGCGAUACGUAGUGUGAAUUGCAGAAUUCCGCGAAUCAUCGAGUCUUUGAACGCAAGUUGCGCCCGAGGCUUGCCUCGUGCAUUUCUGUCAGAGCGUCACCGCGCCACCCACCGACCCCCCCACUCCUUGGCCGGAGUGAGCGGGGGCCGAGUGAAACUGGCCGUCCCGGAGCGCCGCCGCAAGCGGCGGCGACUGGGUUGGCUGAAAUGGACUUUGGCCCCGCCGCGGCGACACAGCCCGCGAUCAGGUGAUCCCCCGGAAACAGAAAAGGGUUGUUGAGGGUGCGAAAUUGGUUGGCUGUGGAGUUGGCGGUGUGUGUACCGGAAGCAAAAAGCAGGCAGGCCC
RNAcentral lists this ribosomal RNA (815 nucleotides) under Grimmia ovalis. RNAcentral describes it as "eukaryotic LSU rRNA". The stretch from base 417 to 568 matches the Rfam family "5.8S ribosomal RNA". Lineage: Eukaryota; Viridiplantae; Streptophyta; Bryopsida; Grimmiales; Grimmiaceae. The record is from RNAcentral.